UAGGAAACCAAGGGAUGAAAGGUGCCAGGUCCCUGGCUGCCUCCUUGCCCGUGGCUGAGAAGUUCUGGUGGGAAGGAACCAUGGAGGGCCCAUCCGGACAUCCUUCCUCAGCUAAAACUGCCUCCUUCCAGGAUGCCGUGCGCAUGCUCAAUACCCUACAGACCAAUGCCGGCUACCUGGAGCAGGUGAAGCGCCAGCGGGGUGACCCCCAGACACAGCUGGAAGCCAUGGAACUGUACCUGGCACGGAGUGGGCUGCAGGUGGAGGACUUGGAUCGGCUGAACAUCAUCCACGUCACUGGGACGAAGGGGAAGGGCUCCACCUGUGCCUUCACGGAAUGUAUCCUCCGAAGCUAUGGCCUGAAGACGGGAUUCUUUAGGAUGGCAGCUGUGUCUCCAUGCCCCCCUACUUCCGCUUCCUGACACUCAUGGCCUUCCACGUCUUCCUCCAAGAGAAGGUGGACCUGGCAGUGGUGGAGGUGGGCAUUGGCGGGGCUUAUGACUGCACCAACAUCAUCAGGAAGCCUGUGGUGUGUGGAGUCUCCUCUCUUGGCAUCGACCACACCAGCCUCCUGGGGGAUACGGUGGAGAAGAUCGCAUGGCAGAAAGGGGGCAUCUUUAAGCAAGGUGUCCCUGCCUUCACUGUGCUCCAACCUGAAGGUCCCCUGGCAGUGCUGAGGGACCGAGCCCA
RNAcentral lists this small RNA (690 nucleotides) under Pongo abelii (Sumatran orangutan). Its description in RNAcentral is "processed transcript". The record is from RNAcentral. Lineage: Eukaryota; Metazoa; Chordata; Mammalia; Primates; Hominidae.